This 274-nucleotide ribosomal RNA is filed under the name uncultured bacterium. Its description in RNAcentral is "partial 16S ribosomal RNA". It matches the Rfam family "Bacterial small subunit ribosomal RNA", at positions 523 to 796 of the family's 1533-position model. The record is from RNAcentral.
AUACGGAGGGUGCAAGCGUUGUUCGGAAUUACUGGGCGUAAAGCGCGUGCAGGUGGUUCGGCAAGUCGGGUGUGAAAUCCCCGGGCUCAACCCGGGAACUGCAUCCGAAACUUCCGAGCUAGAGUCCCGGAGAGGAAGGCAGAAUUCCCAAUGUAGGGGUGAAAUCCGUAGAUAUUGGGAGGAAUACCAGUUGCGAAGGCGGCCUUCUGGACGGUGACUGACACUCAGACGCGAAAGCGUGGGGAGCAAACAGGAUUAGAAACCCCGGUAGUCC